Molecule: non-coding RNA, 7316 nt
Organism: Oryctolagus cuniculus (rabbit)
Lineage: Eukaryota; Metazoa; Chordata; Mammalia; Lagomorpha; Leporidae
Source: RefSeq, a predicted model, not a curated record
GUCAACAAAGACAGUCAUCCUGAAUCUUAAACUUGAGCUCUGAGGAGAGAAACAUUCUAGUUUUGAAGUAAAGCCACCAGUGACAGCCCUAGUUCUGGUCACUCUGAGAUUGCUGCUUCUGGACAGCCCACUGCGUAAAGAAGACUCACAAGCUCUUGAACGCUCUCCUUUGCUUUCCUCUGAACUAUUUGAAGCUGAAGAGGAUGAAGAGGAUGAAAUCACCUAACAAGGCAUUUCUCGAAGCAUAUCCCUGUCUCUAACUGAUGCCCAACUGUAUUAAAGCAACCUUAACGCAAAGGUAACAUGAUAUGAAGACUGGCAAAUGUGAGUAAAGAGUAUAUGGGAGUCCUCUGAAUUAAUUCUGGCAAAAUUUUUGUAACUUUGAAUUUAUUUUAAAAUAAAAUUUUAAAAGGUACUUUUAUUAGAGUGUUUAAUAAAAUAGCAUUUUCCUUUCAACAAAAGUAAAUUAUAGAAGACAGUGCAUAAAUACUUCAAAAACUCAUGAAAAAAAUGGAAUUUAAAAUUAAUUUUGGUACAAAAAACUUUAAACCCAUGUUUUUAUAUUUUACAACCAUACAGUACUCAUCUCCCAUGAACUUUGUGAGGAACCCUGGUACUUCACACAGAAUGCAUGCAUUUGAAUUUCAUGAUGCAAACUCACUCAUUUACCUACUCUCUGCUGUGGCCUGGGAAAGCAGAAGAUGGCCCGGGUGUUUGGGCCCCUGCACCCACGUAGGAGACCGGAAGAAGCUCCUGAGUCCUGACUUCAGAUCAGCUCAGCUCUGGCCAUUGAGGCCAUCUGGAGAGUGAACCAGCGGAUGAAGACUUCUCUCUCUCUCUCUGCCUCUCUCUGUAAUUCUACCUCUCAAAUGAAUAAAUAAAAUCUUUAAAAAAAAAUAACAGCAAUAUGAUACAAAUAUCACUGGGUCCCUAUAUUCUUCUGUAUUAAAGGCAAAACUCUAAUGCUUAAAAAUUGAGUCUCAGUUUUAUGAAAUGGCACUAGAUGAGGCAGACCACCAGAGAACUGCAUAACUGAAAUUAAAAGAUAUUUUGGUGAAAAAAAAUUUUGUAGACUUCUCUAUGCAAUUUCAAAACUUUUUGUAUCAAACAUUUUUAAAUAUUAUUUUUCCAUAAAUAUUUUGAAGUACCCUCAUGUGCAUAUAUACAGAGACACAAAUGUGAGAAUUAUCAUAGCUGGUCUUUAAAAUAGUCUUUGACAAUUAUUUCCAUUAUUUUACCAAUUUUAUUCUUUCAAACAUGAAUGAGUCUAAGCCACAAUUUUAACAAGAUAAAUUAUUAGUUUAAGUUUGCAACCUCUGAUCUAUCACUGUUUUCAUGUAAAAGGAAACACUACAUCCAAGUUGAACACACACAGUAUUUAGGAGAAAUGACUGCUAAAACUGAUAACCAGCUCCUAAACAACACAGCAUUUAUGGAAACUGACAGCUAACAUCAGACACAUGGUGAAAGAAUUACAAGACGAGAAAUAAAACAAGAUACCUGCUUUUACAACUGCUACUCAACUUUACAUAACAGUACCCUGUUUUGUCUAUAGUUUCAGUUGCUCAGUCUGAAUAUUAGCUGCAAACUGCAUGAACAAACUAUGCAUAGUUUUAGAGUACGUGACAUUCUGAGUAACAUGAUGAAAUCCCAUGUGUGCCUCCCAGCCAAUCCAAGCCAAGAAUCAUCUCUUUGUCUAAUUAAUGCUACAGCACCACAUGGUAGUUGAGAUGAGACUCACAUAACUUUCAUUACAGCAUACCGUUAUGUUAUUAAACUGCAAGUUAAUUAAAUUAUGAAAUGUUGGAAGAUUAAGCUUUAUCAGAGAUAUUUCUAAUCACAGAUGACAUGAUCUCACAGUGACAGAAACUUCCAAAGAACGCCCAAGAAAGCUAAUUAGGGAUUAUAAAUAACUUCAGCAAAAUCAUAGGGCACAAGAACAGCACAUAAAUGCCAUUAUAUCUUUUUUUUUUUUUUUUUGACAGAGUUAGAGACAGAGGUCUUCCUUCCGUUGGUUCACUCCCCAAAUGGCCGCUACAGCCAGUGCUGCGCCGAUCCGAAGCCAGGAGCCAGGUGCUUCCUCCUGGUCUCCCAUGGGGUGCAGGGCCCAAGGACCUGGGCCAUCCUCCACUGCCCUCCCAGGCCACAGCAGAGAGCUGGACUGGAAGAGGAGCAACCGGGAUUAGAACCCGGAGCCCAUAUGGGAUGCUGGCGCCGCAGGCAGAGGAUUAAUCUAGUGAGCCAUGGCGCCGUCCCCCGCCAGUUAUAUUUCUACGUAAUACUAAUGAACAAUCAUAAAAAGAUAUUUAGAAAGCAAUUCCACUUACAAGAGCAUCUAACAUAACAAAAUACUUGGAAAUAAAGUCAACCAAGGAGCUGUAAGACACAUACACACGAGGUCGGCGCUGUGGUGUAGCGGGGAAAGCCACUAACUGCUCCUCUUCUGAUCCAGCUCUCUGCUAUGGCCUGAGAAAGCAGUGGAAAAUGGCCCAAGUGCUUGGGCCCCUGCACCCGCGUGGGAGACCCAGAAGCUCUUGGCUCCUGGCUUUGGAUUGGCCCAGCUCCAGCCACUGCGGCCAGUUGGCGAGUGAACCAGCAGGUGAAAGACCUCCCUCUCUCUCUCUGCCUCUCCUUCUCUGUGUAACUCUUUAAAAUAAAUAAAUAAAUCUUAAAAAAAAAUACACACUUAACUACAAAACAGUACCAGAAGAAAUUAAAGAUGAUCUAAAUAAAUGGAAAGAUAUCCCAUGUACACAGACAAGGAUACUAAAUAUUGUCAACAUCAAUACUACCCAACUCAAGGCAAUCUACAUGUUCAUCAGAAUCCCUAAUAAAAUUAUGAAAUUCUGCAGAAAUAAAAGCCGAUUCUCAAAUUCAUAAUAUAUUAGAAAAGUUCUGAGCAGCUGAACCUAAAAAAUAAAAACUUAAAGCACCUGACAGUUUCAAAAAUCACCAAAGUCACAGAAAAUUAUGUUACUGGCAUGUAGACAUUUAUGCCGGUGGAACAGAACUGAGAGUUUAGAAACAGACCCAAAUGGCUGAUUUUCAACAAAAAAGUACCAAUGAGGAAAGAAGAAUUUCUCUAACAGAUGGUGGUUAAACAAAUGAAAUUCUGCACGUCAAAGAAGAGCUGGGUUCCCACUCACACUAUAUACAAAUACCUAAAAUGGAUCAACAACUUAAAAGAGUUAAAUCACAAAACUCAGAAUAGAUGGAAUAAAUAAUCAUGAUGGAUUUGGCAAUGGAUUCUUUUUUUUUUUUUUUUUGAUAGGCAGAGUUAGAUAGUGAGAGAGAGAGAGACAGAGAGAAAGGUCUUCCUUUUUCCGUUGGUUCACCCCCCAAGUGGCUGCUACAGCUGGCAAGCUGCACCCAUCCAAAGCCAGGAGUCAGGUGCUUCCUCCCUGUCUCCCAUGUGGGUGCAAGGCCCAAGCACCUAGGCCAUCCUCCACUGCACUCCCGGGCCACAGCAGAGAGCUGGACUAGAAGAGGAGCAACAGGGACAGAAUCCAGCACCCCAACCGGGGCUAGAACCCAAAGUGCCGGUGCCACAGGCGGAGGAUUAGCCUAGUGAGCCGCGGUGCCAGCCCGCAAAAGACUUUUUAAUUUUUUUUUUUUUUUUUGGACAGGCAGAGUGGACAAUGAGAGAGAGAGAGAGAGAGAAAGGUCUUCCUUUACCGUUGGUUCACCCUCCAAUGGCCACCGUGGCUGGCGCGCUGUGGCCAGUACACCACGCUGAUCCGAUGGCAGGAGCCAGGUGCUUCUCCUGGUCUCCCAUGAGGUGCAGGGCCCAAGCACUUGGGCCAUCCUCCACUGCACUCCCUGGCCACAGCAGAGAGCUGGCCUGGAAGAGGGGCAAUCGGAACAGAAUCCAGCACCCCGACCGGGACUAGAACCCGGUGUGCCGGCGCCGCAAGGCGGAGGAUUAGCCUAGUGAGCCGCGGCGCCAGCAGCGGCAACGGAUUCUUAAGAUAUGAAACCAAAAGCAUGAGAAACAAAAUAUAAAAUGGUAUCAAAGGACGUUACCAAAGUGAAAGUACAACUUACAGAAUGAUGUAAAAUAUCUGAAAAUCAUCUGGUAAAAGUUUAAUGUCUAUUACAAGAACCCCAACACAACAAAAAAGAUCAAAUUUAAAGGUAAAGAACUCAAGUUAACGUUUUUCAAAAGAUGACAUGCAAAAUAGCCAAAAACAUGAUCAACAUUAGCAUAUUACUAUAUUUUCUUACUUUCUCUACAGCUGUGGCAUUUGACACCUUAAUCCUUGAUCGACUGCCCCUCCCAGAGCCAACUAAUUCCUACGGAUAUGUCAUUCUCCAAGUACACCUUUGAUAAAUAUUUCAAUUCAGAGUCCACACGUCCAAUUGUCUCUAUUAAACUUUUACACACAAAGCCAAUAUACCUCUUGCCCUAAUGCACCUGAGAGCAGCCAACAUUGUGCACAGUGAGUUAAGCUGCCACCUAGCAUUCCAGCAUCCCAUAUGGGUGCCAGUUUGAGUCCACUUCUAAUCCAGCUCCUCACUAAUAUGCGUAGGAAAGCAGUGGAAGACAGCCCAAGUCCUUCAGCUCCUGCACCUACGUGGGAGACCUGGAAGAAGCUCCUGGAUCCAGAUCGGCCCAGCUCCAGCCAAUACGGCCAAUUGGGGAGUGAACCAAAGGAUGGAAGACCUCUCUCUCACUGCAUCUCCUCCUCACUCUAACUCUGACUUUCAAAUAAAUAAAUAAAUCGUAAAAAAAAAAAAAAAAAGAAAGAAAAGAAAAGAAGGGGAAGUGGAAGUGGAAAUAAAGCCCACUAGUUAAUCAGUAGUGACAAUGUACACAUAAAAAUGUUAAGGUAUCAAAAAAGUGCUUUAUUUUAAAUCUUUUUAUUGUUUUUAAAUUAUCCAGCACACUGGCUUCAAGUAUGCAAUGUCUGUGAAGAUUCCUGGGACGAUGUGAUGCGUAAGCUUCUUUAUAUCACAUCUCACUAAGGUCUGUAACGUCCAACGUGUAACAUUUCAGCAAAAGCUGAGGAAAGCUCUGUCUACUAACAAUCAGGCAGCUCUUGAGUUGCUUCUUCAGACCAGAGGUUCACUGCUCUGCCAGCUCCCACCCCUCACUCCAGAUUUCCCUCCGGUCACUUUAGUAUUCUUCCCACCUGCACCAGGAUUUCUAAUCCACUUUUUGCAAUCUUCCUCCAUACAAGAAACAGGAACUCUUUUCAUUUUGUGUAUUAAACUAUUGCUUUCUACUAAUAUUCUCCUUCUACCAAUCCUCAUAUGCUCAAAAAACUGUAAGAGAUUAUGAUAAACAUCAACUGUUAUAAAGGCAAAACCUGUAGGUACUUGGACAGUGACAGAUGCUCUGUUCUUUCUAUCAGUAUUGCUUUAUUCAGUCCUUGUUAAUAUCUCAACCUGUACCAGCAAUACAAAAUUCACACAGAUCAUACAGACUUUUUUUUUUUAUGAACCACUUAAAAAUUACCUUCGAUCUUUUGUUUGGCGUAUAUGCUUUUGCAUUGCUAAAUAUCAAUCGGAUAUCUUUGCAAAAUUCCAAAGGGCUGUCAUAAUUUCCCGCUUCUAGAGUUUCCCUUACUGUUCCAAAAUCCAUUGGAGUAUCUAUAAUAUCUCGGUAGUCCUAGGUUUUAAGAAUAAUAAUUAGUUCAUAGAUUUAUUUUCCACUCUUAGAAAUGCAAAUGUAUCUGCUCUCUAAAAAUAUAUGAAAUGAGGAAGAAAAGAGAGCAUGUAGGUCUUAAGAUUCAUUGAUAAUGUUUAAAAAGAAGCCCAAACACAAAAGACAAAAAGAAACAAAUAUACCAAAAUAUUAACGCCUAUCUCUCAGUAGUGGGAUAUGGCACAGUUUUUUUGAUUUUCUGCUUUAUACUCUUCAGAAACUUCCAAGCUUCCUACAAUAAUUCUCUGCUCCUAUAAUCAAACUAUUUUUAGGUCCUUUAUUUGAGGAGUAAAAACAGAUACUUUUACCCAAUUUAUAGUUUUUCUGGUAGUGCACCUACGAAGAUAAUAAUGAUGUAGAAACUUCCCAUUUUUACAUAAAACACUAAGUUCUUAGAUUUGUUACAACAAUGUUAAAUUACAGAAAACUAUAUAAAACUAUUUCUACAGCUAAAUUAGUAAAUAGAGAUAAAAUUAACAGAAAAUCUAAACAUUUUUUAAAAGUUUAAAAUAAUUCUAACCCAAACUCCUCACCAUAUAGCAAGAAAAGCCCCCAGCAGUGGAAACUUACUGGAUAUUCAACCAAAUCAACAGGUUGUCUAAAUGGUUCAGAGUCUUCACACUGAAAAAUUAAGUUCACUAGUUCCUUACACUGUCUCUUCCAGUUGCUUUCAACACAGUUCGUAGCUUUGCUGCUCCUUUUUUUCCAAUCAUGGACCUAAAAAUACAUCCAUAAUAUUGAAAAUGUUUUCAGUCUUAGGAAAUUCACACUGUAAGACAAGACUGGUAAAAAUGUAACUCAGCUUCUCUCUUCUGUAUUGUGUACUAAGAAUUAUGGCUAUUUUAGAUUGUCUUUGCAGUUGGAAAAAUCUGUUUUUUCACACAAUAAUGUCACAGAUUUUGCUCUAUUUUUCCAGAAUCAAAAUUUUAAAGCUUGUCAUUUAAUAUGUUUUAAUAUAACCUGCCAGUCCCAGAAAAAACUUAAGAUUAGCUAAGAAUAGUAUUCUUUUGGGGCACAUUAUCCACCAACUCUUUCCCAAGUAUAUAAAGCUUAUCGUGACAUAUAUGAAGGAUUACAUGUGAUGAUGUGAAAGAAGAUUAAUGGUUCCACCAAGGAUGUCCACAUCACAAUUAUCACAACCCAAGACUAUGUUACCUUACAGGGAAAGAGGUCCUUGAAGAUUUAGUUAAGGGUUCCUACAGCCUUAGGGGUGGAAGUUUAUCCUGGAUUAACUGCAUGGGCAGAAGGAUCAGAAUGAAGAACUGGAAAUGCUACACGGCUCACUUCAAGUUGGAAGAAGAGGACCUACAGCCAAGGACCUGAGAAAGCUAGAUGCUAGAAAAGGAGCGCUCCCCCAUCUAGAGGUUCUGGCCACGCCAACAUUAUGAUUUUGACCCAGUAAGAUUCAUGUCAAGUAUCAAAUCUACAAAACUGCACAGUAAUACAUUUUAAAUAUUUAAGCAAUCAACUAAAUGUGUCUUUUGCUACAGCAAACAAAGCAAACAUAUAGAUAAUAAGUACUUGGAAGCUUCUUUAAAAAUGAAUCUGACAAAUCAGAUGAUAUUAUUUCAGGUAUAACUUUCUAAUGUUAUUUGUACUAAGCAUAUCGUGAAAAUUACUAUUUGAUAAAAAAGCUUAAAUGUCAAGAGUAUUUGGAUGAAAUUUAAAA